AAAUGUAAUUUGGAUCUAAGAUUUCAAAUCUGAAGAAAUUGAGAAAGAUGGAGAGAAAAUGAGAGAUAAACAGAGAUAUAGUGAGAUUUUGGAGGAUUAACUUGUUUCUUCAUCAGAUUUUGAUCUCGGUAAACAGGUGCAUAUAUUUGGCUUCACGUCUCUCUUCCUCUACCGCAAUUAUUAUGCUCUGGAAGGAAGUGGAGGCACACCAUUUGCAGGAAGAUUGAGUUUCCUCCGGAGUAUCCAUUCAAACCACCAGGAAUCAAGUAUUAUUUAAGAACAAGG
Molecule: long non-coding RNA, 285 nt
Organism: Papaver somniferum (opium poppy)
Lineage: Eukaryota; Viridiplantae; Streptophyta; Magnoliopsida; Ranunculales; Papaveraceae
Exons: 4
Source: RefSeq, a predicted model, not a curated record